CUUUUCAGCGGUGCCGGUAAUCCUGAUUUGAGCCGAUUCUGUGUCGUCCAAACGAACAACAGGAAAAUCUAGUGAGCCGUUUCGAUCUGCCCCUCAAAUUUCCCGUCUUUGUUGCGCGGUUCUAGGGGUCUGUUGUGCAAGUUCAAAUGUAGUAGCGGCUGUUGCUUGCACGUUGCAAAGCCCGUGGCCGCUGCAGUCAGUGGGAUGAUCACAAAAUCCACUUUGCCCCCGGUUGCCGGGGGCAUGUCGGGUCGCCGCUUCUCCGCCCAAGUGCCAAUGCAGAGUGCAGGAGGCGCGCUGGCUGCAUGGUCCGGACGCACACCCACACCCCGCACCCCGCACGCGGCACCCUCCUUCGCUCCCUCCCCACGCUUCCUACCCUACUUUCAGGUUCCGAGCAGGUGCAUGCCCCCCGCCAGGUUCGUGCGCAGCUGCAGUACCAAGCCACAAAGCGUCCAUGUGUGGCGCGUGUCAACGCCUCUUGCUCCUGCUGCUGCAAUGCGCCGGCGCCUCUCACUGCUGCUAUGGC
Molecule: long non-coding RNA, 529 nt
Filed under: Chlamydomonas reinhardtii
Lineage: Eukaryota; Viridiplantae; Chlorophyta; Chlorophyceae; Chlamydomonadales; Chlamydomonadaceae
Description: long non-coding RNA (CREI_LNC001294)
Source: RNAcentral